UGGCUGCCUCCUCCAAUCACUGAGAAACUGACAGCAUCUGUGAAAAGCGCUAAGGAGAGAGGAAAGUGCCUGAGGCAGGGAGUUAAGACCUCACCAACCUGGAGUCUGGGAGGGCUUCCAGGAGGAAGAGGCAUUGAAACCCCAAGUGUGCUGCAGUAAUCAGGGGGUUGGGGGCUGCGGGAGGCAACUACAGGGCAGAGCUGGGCUGGAGGCGAGUCGGGCACAGACCAGCAUCCUGGCCUCAAAGGCUGCACUUAGUAGGUGCAGCAGAGCUGCUUACAGAGCAGGACCUGAGGCUCUGGGCGAGGGCGCCAGCAGGAGACGCAGAAUGAGCCGGCGUGCCCUCUGCACCUCCCUUGGUGAACCCCACUCCAGCCGGGCCCUCUGUUGGACUGGUAUGACUCAGCACAAACCCCAAUCCCUGCCCGGGCCUGCUUUUACCCCUGCUUCUCUGUUUCUGAGGAGCUCGAGGCUUGGCCCUUUGACCCCUGCAGGACAUGCAGGAGAGCAGGUCCCAUAGCACGAGGCCAGAGCGCGGGGCACACAGUGGGGCAGGCCUGGGAGAGGAGCCCCCAGGCUGAAUCCCUGCCUGCCUGGGAGCACCCUGUCCACGUGGGGAGUGGUGCUGGGGCUUUUCCGGCAGAGUUGGGGACCCCCUUCACCACUUCGUCAGUGGGAGAGGGGCUGUUUCUGAUCAUCCCUGAUCACACGAUUCUCUAAGGAUCACCUGGUUGGUGUGCUGACCAUCCUCCUCAGCCACUACC
Molecule: long non-coding RNA, 764 nt
Organism: Pipistrellus kuhlii (Kuhl's pipistrelle)
Lineage: Eukaryota; Metazoa; Chordata; Mammalia; Chiroptera; Vespertilionidae
Exons: 3
Source: RefSeq, a predicted model, not a curated record